CAGCCUGCUACCUCAUGCACCAUCACCAUGUCAUUACAAUAACUACCGAGACUUGUGCCUGUAGCUCUGUCUCAAAAACGCUGUCACUUCGCGCCUGUAGCAUUGUCACAAGCACAGGUGGCACUUCAGGCCAUGUCACGGUCACUCUGCGCCAGAGUUGCUGUUACAAGCACAUCGGGCAAUCUGUGAAAAAAUUGCAGUUCAGUAG
Molecule: non-coding RNA, 208 nt
Organism: Pelobates cultripes (western spadefoot toad)
Lineage: Eukaryota; Metazoa; Chordata; Amphibia; Anura; Pelobatidae
Source: the annotation of a GenBank genome assembly